RNAcentral lists this transfer RNA (68 nucleotides) under Marmota monax (woodchuck). RNAcentral describes it as "tRNA.Val". Lineage: Eukaryota; Metazoa; Chordata; Mammalia; Rodentia; Sciuridae. The record is from RNAcentral.
GGAUUGUGGCUCAGUGGCAGAGUGCUUGCCUCACACGUAUGAGGCACUGGGUUCGUUACUCAGCACCA